CCUACGGGAGACAGUAGUGAGGAAUAUUGGUCAAUGGACGAGAGUCUGAACCAGCCAAGUAGCGUGAAGGAUGACUGCCCUAUGGGUUGUAAACUUCUUUUAUAUGGGAAUAAAAUGUUCCACGUGUGGGAUUUUGUAUGUACCAUAUGAAUAAGGAUCGGCUAACUCUGUGCCAGCAGCCGCGGUAAUACGGAGGAUCCGAGCGUUAUCCGGAUUUAUUGGGUUUAAAGGGAGCGUAGGUGGAUUGUUAAGUCAGUUGUGAAAGUUUGCGGCUCAACCGUAAAAUUGCAGUUGAAACUGGCAGUCUUGAGUACAGUAGAGGUGGGCGGAAUUCGUGGUGUAGCGGUGAAAUGCUUAGAUAUCACGAAGAACUCCGAUUGCGAAGGCAGUUCACUGGACUGCAACUGACACUGAGGCUCGAAAGUGUGGGUAUCAAACAGGAUUAGAUACCCGAGUAGUC
Molecule: ribosomal RNA, 460 nt
Filed under: uncultured bacterium
Lineage: Bacteria
Description: partial 16S ribosomal RNA
Rfam family: Bacterial small subunit ribosomal RNA
Source: RNAcentral